This 246-nucleotide long non-coding RNA is filed under the name Homo sapiens (human). RNAcentral describes it as "non-protein coding lnc-WWC1-5:1". The record is from RNAcentral. Lineage: Eukaryota; Metazoa; Chordata; Mammalia; Primates; Hominidae.
AAACAAAUGUUCCAGCCGAGAUAUUUAUGGGAUUCUCUACAGGCAGCUGACUGGCUGCUGUGGGAGGAAGUCCAAAGCUGAGAUAUUUGUCCUAGCUUGAAAACUGUCAGUACUAUUUGUAUGAAUGCGUUCAAAGUGGCCAUGUUUCUUCAUAACUUUUUGGACUAGUUCAACAGGGACAUGAAAGAAGGACACUAAACUGAUUCCUACAUGGAAGCUUCCAUUGCUUACUGUCUGCUUGGAACU